This 535-nucleotide ribosomal RNA is filed under the name Alteromonas sp. RNAcentral's name for it is "bacterial SSU rRNA". It matches the Rfam family "Bacterial small subunit ribosomal RNA", at positions 380 to 907 of the family's 1533-position model. Lineage: Bacteria; Pseudomonadati; Pseudomonadota; Gammaproteobacteria; Alteromonadales; Alteromonadaceae. The record is from RNAcentral.
GACCUGAUGCAGCCAUGCCGCGUGUGUGAAGAAGGCCUUCGGGUUGUAAAGCACUUUCAGUUGUGAGGAAAAGUUAGUAGUUAAUACCUGCUAGCCGUGACGUUAACAACAGAAGAAGCACCGGCUAACUCCGUGCCAGCAGCCGCGGUAAUACGGAGGGUGCGAGCGUUAAUCGGAAUUACUGGGCGUAAAGCGCACGCAGGCGGUUUGUUAAGCUAGAUGUGAAAGCCCCGGGCUCAACCUGGGACGGUCAUUUAGAACUGGCAGACUAGAGUCUUGGAGAGGGGAGUGGAAUUCCAGGUGUAGCGGUGAAAUGCGUAGAUAUCUGGAGGAACAUCAGUGGCGAAGGCGACUCCCUGGCCAAAGACUGACGCUCAUGUGCGAAAGUGUGGGUAGCGAACAGGAUUAGAUACCCUGGUAGUCCACACCGUAAACGCUGUCUACUAGCUGUUUGUGGCUUUAAGCCGUGAGUAGCGAAGCUAACGCGAUAAGUAGACCGCCUGGGGAGUACGGCCGCAAGGUUAAAACUCAAAUG